UGUUCGAGCGUCAUUGCAACCCUCAAGCCCUGCUUGGUAUUGGAUGUCACCGUCCUGGUGCGUCCCAAAGUUAUCGGCGGUGCAGUAUGGCCUCUAGCGUAGUAACUCUCUCGCUUGGGGUCUAGACGGGACACCACCAGAGCCUAAUUUUUAUUUCAAAGGUUGACCUCGGAUCAGGUAGGGAUACCCGCUGAACUUAA
This 200-nucleotide unclassified non-coding RNA is filed under the name soil metagenome. Its description in RNAcentral is "partial contains internal transcribed spacer 2 and large subunit ribosomal RNA". The record is from RNAcentral.